AUUGAACGCUGGCGGCAUGCCUUACACAUGCAAGUCGAACGGCAGCACGGGUGCUUGCACCUGGUGGCGAGUGGCGAACGGGUGAGUAAUACAUCGGAACAUGUCCUGUAGUGGGGGAUAGCCCGGCGAAAGCCGGAUUAAUACCGCAUACGAUCUACGGAUGAAAGCGGGGGACCUUCGGGCCUCGCGCUAUAGGGUUGGCCGAUAGCUGAUUAGCUAGUUGGUGGGGUAAAGGCCUACCAAGGCGACGAUCAGUAGCUGGUCUGAGAGGACGACCAGCCACACUGGGACUGAGACACGGCCAAGACUCCUACGGGAGGCAGCAGUGGGGAAUUUUGGACAAUGGGCGAAAGCCUGAUCCAGCAAUGCCGCGUGUGUGAAGAAGGCCUUCGGGUUGUAAAGCACUUUUGUCCGGAAAGAAAUCCUUGGCUCUAAUACAGUCGGGGGAUGACGGUACCGGAAGAAUAAGCACCGGCUAACUACGUG
RNAcentral lists this ribosomal RNA (486 nucleotides) under uncultured bacterium. Its description in RNAcentral is "partial 16S ribosomal RNA". It matches the Rfam family "Bacterial small subunit ribosomal RNA", at positions 30 to 507 of the family's 1533-position model. The record is from RNAcentral.